GCGGAUCCGCGCCCGGCCCGCUUUCUACGGUGGAUGCUCAUCUCGGCGUGUGGCGGGACCGUCGCUCGGCGCUGUACGGAAACUCGGAGCAGGGGCUGCUUCCAGCGCUGCGCGGAGCCCGAGGCGCUCUGGCGGGGCCAGGACCGGGAUCUGGGCCCGGGGAUUCGGGUCCUGGUCCCGCCGGUGCCUACUGCGGAAGCUGGGCAGAGCCGCUUCUUGCUCGGCGGGCGAGCCAAGCAGUCAGUCCGGCAUUCCUGCCUACUCUGAUGCCAGCCACUGUCUUGUGUUCCAACUCACUCCUCAGAUGGAAAAGGACUGGGACCAUAACUGCUGAAUGCUACUGGCAGUGAGGCUUCUUUCCAGCUGGGUGAUGCCGUAUCCCAGGCUCCGCGGCGUGGCUGGAUGCAGGCUGGACACGCAGGUAAGGCUAGGGCUCAAAAACUGUGGGCG
This is a long non-coding RNA of Zonotrichia leucophrys gambelii, 450 nucleotides long. RefSeq lists it as uncharacterized. The transcript has 3 exons. NCBI's taxonomy places the organism in Eukaryota, Metazoa, Chordata, Aves, Passeriformes, Passerellidae. The record is from RefSeq and is a predicted model, not a curated record.